Molecule: long non-coding RNA, 1157 nt
Filed under: Strigops habroptila (Kakapo)
Lineage: Eukaryota; Metazoa; Chordata; Aves; Psittaciformes; Psittacidae
Description: lncRNA (ENSSHBG00005014190.1)
Source: RNAcentral
CCGGCGCUGGCGGCGGCUGCCCAGGCGGUGGCGGUGGAGGCGGCGGUGGAAGGUCUGUUCUCGCUUCAGGCGGCAGUAGUGCGGCAUGCUGGAGCUUCUCUGAGGGCUGACAGCGCUGCGCUGCGCAGCGCUCAGCUGCCUCGGGGGCCGCGGCCGCCGCGCCCCUGAGAGUGUUUCUGGUAUCUUGGUAUGUGAAGCCAGUGCUGAUCUAUAAUCAGAAGUCGGAGGCUGUAAGAACCCUGGACAAAGCUGCUCUUCCUCUGCCAAAGCCUAGGUUCUUCAAGCCUUGAGUAUGGCAAGUUCUGCAUCAGUCCCAGAGGUCGCUGCUCAUUUAACAGCUCCCAUCGUAUCAUCGCUGCUGAAGAUUUGAAGGUGAGAAAGGUCUAAUUCCUACCUGGGCUUUAGUCAUGGAUUAUGUAGCAGGGUAUGAAUUGUUUCGGUAGAUGACUCAAGGUUAAGACUGAAAUGUGGAUCACUCAUGAGGCUUGGGCCGAGUGGGUGAACAGAUAAUCUGCCUGGUGGACUCUUCAGUUUUCAGCUUUGCUGUCUUAUGUUGUGUGGUAUCCUCUAAGUAGUUCUGGAGCUAGAUCAUAACAUGGAGCAAGUCCCCUUGAGACUUAAGUAGAUGUGUUUGGAAGUGUUUGUGUAGGAGACUUUACUUGCUGACUCUGUUAACUUGAAGAAAGUGUCUUGAGGAGGUUACAAGGGAAACCUCGCUCCUGCUAAUGAAAAUCCUGGAAGAAACUUCAUUGUUUAAUGUAGUGUUGUCAUGGUAACUGUGAUUCUGAGUGCAUUUAUUUCAUAAAAAUUAACAAAGUAUUUCUGGUAAUGUCACUAUCUGGGACUAAUGGUGACCUAUAAUGAGCAGUUAGUGGCAGUAAGUCUAGAAAGUGCUGCUAAAAAAAGGGAAGCUAAUGCAUGGAUUGCUUCUGGUACUAUGGUGUAGGGCUACACUGCAACAGCAAGAGCAGUAUCUAGAGUUACCUACCAGAAGGCAGGCAGGAAGGUCAUACUCAAUAAAUUGUCUAUUGCUUUAUAAAACAGCUGUUUGUAAAGCUGUGAAUGUUAGUGAAAACUGUAAAAAGACUCUAAAUCUACACAUCAGCUGUUUGUAUUGUGUAUCACGUUGUCUCUAAAUACAACAAAGAUUUUAAAAA